RNAcentral lists this ribosomal RNA (644 nucleotides) under Bacillus licheniformis. RNAcentral describes it as "bacterial SSU rRNA". It matches the Rfam family "Bacterial small subunit ribosomal RNA", at positions 8 to 634 of the family's 1533-position model. The record is from RNAcentral. Lineage: Bacteria; Bacillati; Bacillota; Bacilli; Caryophanales; Bacillaceae.
AGAGUUUGAUCCUGGCUCAGGACGAACGCUGGCGGCGUGCCUAAUACAUGCAAGUCGAGCGGACAGAUGGGAGCUUGCUCCCUGAUGUUAGCGGCGGACGGGUGAGUAACACGUGGGUAACCUGCCUGUAAGACUGGGAUAACUCCGGGAAACCGGGGCUAAUACCGGAUGCUUGUUUGAACCGCAUGGUUCAAACAUAAAAGGUGGCUUCGGCUACCACUUACAGAUGGACCCGCGGCGCAUUAGCUAGUUGGUGAGGUAAUGGCUCACCAAGGCAACGAUGCGUAGCCGACCUGAGAGGGUGAUCGGCCACACUGGGACUGAGACACGGCCCAGACUCCUACGGGAGGCAGCAGUAGGGAAUCUUCCGCAAUGGACGAAAGUCUGACGGAGCAACGCCGCGUGAGUGAUGAAGGUUUUCGGAUCGUAAAGCUCUGUUGUUAGGGAAGAACAAGUACCGUUCGAAUAGGGCGGUACCUUGACGGUACCUAACCAGAAAGCCACGGCUAACUACGUGCCAGCAGCCGCGGUAAUACGUAGGUGGCAAGCGUUGUCCGGAAUUAUUGGGCGUAAAGGGCUCGCAGGCGGUUUCUUAAGUCUGAUGUGAAAGCCCCCGGCUCAACCGGGGAGGGUCAUUGGAAACU